UACGGGGGGGGGCAAGCGUUGUUCGGAAUUACUGGGCGUAAAGGGCUCGUAGGUGGCCAACUAAGUCGGACGUGAAAUCCCUCGGCUUAACCGGGGAACUGCGUCCGAUACUGGUUGGCUUGAGUUUGGGAGGGGGAUGCGGAAUUCCAGGUGUAGCGGUGAAGUGCGUAGAUAUCAGGAGGAACACCGGUGGCGAAGGCGGGUCUCUGGGCCGAUACUGACGCUGAGGAGCGAAAGCGUGGGGAGCGAACAGG
This 254-nucleotide ribosomal RNA is filed under the name uncultured bacterium. RNAcentral's name for it is "partial 16S ribosomal RNA". It matches the Rfam family "Bacterial small subunit ribosomal RNA", at positions 524 to 776 of the family's 1533-position model. The record is from RNAcentral.